CCAAUAGCGUAUAUUAAAGUUGUUGCAGUUAAAAAGCUCGUAGUUGAAUUUCGGGGUCAGUAGGUUGUUCAUGCCACUGGUAUGUACUGGUCUCACUGAUUCCUCCUUCCUGAUGAACCGUAAUGCCAUUAAUUUGGUGUUGCGGGGAGACUGGACUGUUACUUUGAAAAAAUUAGAGUGUUUAAAGCAGGCUAACGCUUGAAUAAAUUAGCAUGGAAUAAUGAAAUAGGACGUUCGAUCCUAUUUUGUUGGUUUCUAGGAUUGACGUAAUGAUUAAUAGGGAUAGUUGGGGGCAUUAGUAUUCAAUUGUCAGAGGUGAAAUUCUUGGAUUUAUUGAAGACUAACUACUGCGAAAGCAUUUGCCAAGGAUGUUUUCAUUAAUCAAGAACGAAAGUUAGGGGAUCGAAGACGAUCAGAUACCGUCGUAGUCUUAACCAUAAACUAUGCCGACUAGGGAUCGGAUGAUGUUAAUUUUUUAAUGACUCAUUCGGCGCCUUACG
This 500-nucleotide ribosomal RNA is filed under the name uncultured Glomeromycotina. RNAcentral's name for it is "partial small subunit ribosomal RNA". It matches the Rfam family "Eukaryotic small subunit ribosomal RNA", at positions 591 to 1092 of the family's 1831-position model. Lineage: Eukaryota; Fungi; Glomeromycota. The record is from RNAcentral.